UCAAUUCUUGACUUCUGUGCACCCAUAGGCC
RNAcentral lists this non-coding RNA (31 nucleotides) under Homo sapiens (human). Lineage: Eukaryota; Metazoa; Chordata; Mammalia; Primates; Hominidae. The record is from RNAcentral.